AUCAUGGAGGCAAUUGAGCUGUACCGAGAAGAAACUGCAAAAAUGAAAGAACACAGAGCCAUUUGUAGAGCAGCGGGGAAAGAGGUUCCUCUUCCUGUCAACCCCAUCCUGAUGGCCCAUGGCAAUAUUUCUGUGAGUGGGAUGUCUGUUUCUCCUUGGUGUUUCAGGGGCUAACUUCAGAGAUGAGAGGGAGUGAGGAAGCACUGUGACUUGGGGAUACGUUCCCUGGGAAGGCCUUUGUUUCCAAAAGUCUGAGUGUCUUCUAAAACAGCUUGCUGCUGGUGAAACUUCCCAGGAUGCGUCUGGGUUAGACCAGCCUGCCUCUUCCACCUUUAGUGCUUCUGCAUGGUCGGCAUCCACAGCUCUCUGAAGACUUGUCUGCACAUGACCUCUGAUACAGAUCUUUGUAGGAACAAUCGACAAAACCCGUCAUGAAGAAGGGAAGAGAUGUAUCAGGAGAGCAUGUUUAUCUAGGAGUUGCUAGUUAUUGCACGUGUUUUCAUUGCAGCAAUCUCAGAAUAUCUUCAUUGUGUAGAUAUGAAACCGGCCCAACUUACAAGGAAGGGUAGUCAUAAAGGACAUAAGGACAUGGCUUAAUUAUAGCCCUAUGUGGCUAGCUGCAAGCCCACACAGCCCUGUCAUGUGGGAUGGACGCAGGCCCUGGAGGAAAGCCCUCAAGGGUGUCACUAAUGCUGCUGUCUUUCCUUUGUAGCCCUCAGCGUAUGUGUUAGAGACUUUUAAAGGGAUCAGGUCAAGUGAACUGGAAGAGGCCCUGCUUGUGCUGCCGUUCUCCUAUGUCCCAGACAUUCUUACGCUGUUCAAUGGGUUCAUCCAGACAGGAUCAGAUGUCGAGCUGUUGUGCCGGUGCCUCUUUUUUCUCCUCAGGAUUCACUUUGGCCAGAUCACCAGCAACCAGAUGCUUGUGCCCGUGAUAGAGAAGCUAAAAGAAACAACUAUUUCAAAAGUCAGAC
This 971-nucleotide long non-coding RNA is filed under the name Rattus norvegicus (Norway rat). Its description in RNAcentral is "long non-coding RNA NONRATT016709". Lineage: Eukaryota; Metazoa; Chordata; Mammalia; Rodentia; Muridae. The record is from RNAcentral.